Molecule: ribosomal RNA, 314 nt
Filed under: uncultured bacterium
Lineage: Bacteria
Description: bacterial SSU rRNA
Rfam family: Bacterial small subunit ribosomal RNA
Source: RNAcentral
AAAACAUUGACGAACGCUGGCGGCGUGCUUAACACAUGCAAGUCGAACGGAAAGGCCCAGCUUGCUGGGUACUCGAGUGGCGAACGGGUGAGUAACACGUGGGUGAUCUGCCCUGGACUCUGGGAUAAGCCUGGGAAACUGGGUCUAAUACCGGAUAGGACCACUGAUUGCAUGGUUGGUGGUGGAAAGCUUUUGCGGUUCAGGAUGGGCCCGCGGCCUAUCAGCUUGUUGGUGGGGUAAUGGCCUACCAAGGCGACGACGGGUAGCCGACCUGAGAGGGUGAUCGGCCACACUGGGACUGAGACACGGCCCAG